RNAcentral lists this ribosomal RNA (500 nucleotides) under uncultured bacterium. RNAcentral describes it as "partial 16S ribosomal RNA". It matches the Rfam family "Bacterial small subunit ribosomal RNA", at positions 30 to 523 of the family's 1533-position model. The record is from RNAcentral.
AUUGAACGCUGGCGGCAUGCCUUACACAUGCAAGUCGAACGGCAGCACGGGAGCAAUCCUGGUGGCGAGUGGCGAACGGGUGAGUAAAGUAUCGGAACGUGCCCAGUCGUGGGGGAUAACGUAGCGAAAGUUACGCUAAUACCGCAUACGAUCUAUGGAUGAAAGCGGGGGAUCGCAAGACCUCGCGCGAUUGGAGCGGCCGAUAUCAGAUUAGGUAGUUGGUGGGGUAAAGGCUCACCAAGCCGACGAUCUGUAGCUGGUCUGAGAGGACGACCAGCCACACUGGGACUGGGACACGGCCCAGACUCCUACGGGAGGCAGCAGUGGGGAAUUUUGGACAAUGGGCGAAAGCCUGAUCCAGCCAUGCCGCGUGCAGGAUGAAGGCCUUCGGGUUGUAGACUGCUUUUGUACGGAACGAAAAGGUUUGGCCUAAUAAGCUGAGCUCAUGACGGUACCGUAAGAAUAAACACCGGCUAACUACGUGCCAGCCGCCGCCGUAA